RNAcentral lists this ribosomal RNA (253 nucleotides) under uncultured bacterium. RNAcentral describes it as "partial 16S ribosomal RNA". It matches the Rfam family "Bacterial small subunit ribosomal RNA", at positions 524 to 776 of the family's 1533-position model. The record is from RNAcentral.
UACAGAGGGUGCGAGCGUUGUUCGGAAUUAUUGGGCGUAAAGCGCUGGUAGGUGGCUUGUUAAGUCGCGUGUGAAAGCUCCAGGCUCAACCUGGAAAGUGCGCGCGAAACUGGCAAGCUUGAGUGCCGGAGAGGGUCGUGGAAUUCCCAGUGUAGAGGUGAAAUUCGUAGAUAUUGGGAGGAACACCAGAGGCGAAGGCGACGACCUGGAAGGUCACUGACACUGAGCAGCGAAAGCGUGGGGAGCGAACAGG